RNA transcript from Pyrus x bretschneideri (Chinese white pear), 1684 nucleotides. It is a transcript of the gene named protein PHYLLO, chloroplastic-like, with no coding region annotated. Lineage: Eukaryota; Viridiplantae; Streptophyta; Magnoliopsida; Rosales; Rosaceae. The record is from RefSeq and is a predicted model, not a curated record. The transcript has 3 exons.
CUCUCCACCUUCAUCUUCUUUCACUUCUCUCUCUCUCUCUCUCUCUCUCUCUCUCUCUCUCUCUCUCUCUCUGAAACUCCCCUCCCUCCUUUUUCUUCUCUCUUCCUCACAUUCGAUGCUAUUUCCCACAAAUUCUCUCUCUUUCCUGCAUGGCAAGAGGUCCCUGUCUUUCCCGCGCACAACGACGCCACCGCGGCCGCCCUUCUUAUUCCUCAACCCAAACUCCCGCCAUUUUCGACUCCCUCAAAAAAAAAAAAAAUUCUCCACUCUCAUUUAUUUCCACUUAAAUGAUGUCACUUCUAUUUGAUUUUUCGUAUUAUUUUUGUCUUUAAGGCCGUUGGAGGAGUAAGAUUCGACGGCCCGGAGAUCGAAGUCCGCGAAGUGUCCGAAACGGAGGACGGUGACUUGGUGAUCGAGGCCGGCGUCACGUGGACGCUGACUCCAGCGUUGACUCUUCCUCAAGGACUUGAAAAGAUCAGAGAGGCCGUUGAGGAGUUGAAGCUCAAUCCUCCUUCCACUUGUACCGGAAUUCAUAGGUUUCACGUAAUUAAAAAUCUCCGGUUCCAUACUGGUUUAUCGUACAAUGUGCGUUGAAUUGUGGACUUUGAUGGCGAAUUUCACAGGUGGCUGUGUCGCUGAGUGCCAAAAGCCUGAACUGGUUUUGCAUGCAGUCAACUGGAGUCGUCUGCGGUUUAUCCUCUGUUUUUCAUGGGCAAGGAUGUCGAAAACCCGAGUUAUAAAUCGCUGUACGUGAAUGAAACCCGACGAGUUUUCGGAAUUGGUACCGCGGUUCACUCUGCACCUUCAUCAUCUUCUUCUUCGUUCAAAAAGGUUAGUUCUUGUCUUUCUUUUUGCCCUCGUUGAUUUUGAUGGGACACCCAUACAAGUAGCUCAUGUUGUAGCGUCACUUGUGGAAGAAGGAUUUACUGCAGUAAAGCUGAGGGCACUAUUCUCAUCUCUCUGAACUCAUAUUGUUACCAUUACAAAUAUUCUUGUCAAUACGACUUUGUUAUUAUGCAUCAAAGAAAGUGAAGGCUUUGGUUUGUGGCUUUCCAAUGAUUUUUGCAACAGGUAGCUAUACAGGCAGUGAGAAAGAAAGUUGGAUACCGGAUUCACGUUCGUGCUGACGCCAAUCGGAACUGGACGUAUAAAGAAGCUAUCCAGUUUGGAUCCUCGGAACCUGUUCAAAAUGAAGGCGAUAUUAUCGGAUUCUGUAAAGAAAGUGGUUCACUUGUGGCACUGGAUGAAACUAUUGACAGUACUAGAGAACAUCCGCUUGAUAAGCUGGUGAAGUAUACCCAUCCGGGAAUAGUAGCUACUGUUAUUAAACCUAGCGUUGUUGGCGGCUUCGGAAAUACAGCAAUCAUUGCCCAGUGGGCACAGCAGCACCAAAAAAAUGGCUGUUGUUAGUGCUGCGUUUGAAAGUGGCCUAGGUUUGUCAGCAUAUUCAGUUUUUCUGUUAUCUCAACCAGAAGAAUUCAGAAAUCUGUGAAAUGAUGAAUUAUUCAUUGGCCCCGUCAAUAGCUCAUGGUUUAGGAGCUUACCGCUGGCUAGAAGAAGAUGUAACGGCUAACGACCACUCCUCUCAAGAUAGGCUGUAAUCCAUAUAGUGGCUUCGUAGAAGCAUCGUUGCUGAUCGAGUUCUUGAAAAAUUUCAAAUAAAUGGCAACCUAGUUCAUAGAAA